Molecule: ribosomal RNA, 446 nt
Filed under: uncultured soil bacterium
Lineage: Bacteria
Description: bacterial SSU rRNA
Rfam family: Bacterial small subunit ribosomal RNA
Source: RNAcentral
AGAACGAACGCUGGCGGCAUGCCUAAUACAUGCAAGUCGAACGAACACUUCGGUGUUAGUGGCGCACGGGUGCGUAACGCGUGGGAAUCUGCCCUUGGGUUCGGAAUAACAGUUGGAAACGACUGCUAAUACCGGAUGAUGACGAAAGUCCAAAGAUUUAUCGCCCAGGGAUGAGCCCGCGUAGGAUUAGCUAGUUGGUGAGGUAAAGGCUCACCAAGGCGACGAUCCUUAGCUGGUCUGAGAGGAUGAUCAGCCACACUGGGACUGAGACACGGCCCAGACUCCUACGGGAGGCAGCAGUAGGGAAUAUUGGACAAUGGGCGCAAGCCUGAUCCAGCAAUGCCGCGUGAGUGAUGAAGGCCUUAGGGUUGUAAAGCUCUUUUACCCGAGAUGAUAAUGACAGUAUCGGGAGAAUAAGCCCCGGCUAACUCCGUGCCAGCAGCCGC